Molecule: RNase P RNA, 366 nt
Filed under: Pseudomonadales bacterium
Lineage: Bacteria; Pseudomonadati; Pseudomonadota; Gammaproteobacteria; Pseudomonadales
Also listed under: 1 other name
Description: RNase P RNA component class A
Rfam family: Bacterial RNase P class A
About the family: Ribonuclease P (RNase P) is a ubiquitous endoribonuclease, found in archaea, bacteria and eukarya as well as chloroplasts and mitochondria. Its best characterised activity is the generation of mature 5'-ends of tRNAs by cleaving the 5'-leader elements of precursor-tRNAs.
Source: RNAcentral
CGAGUCAGCCGGACAGUUGCUGCCCGAUAUCUCUCAGGAGGUGCCGGGGGGAGGAAAGUCCGGGCUCCGCAGAGCAGGGUGCCAGGUAACGCCUGGGGGAUGUGAAUCCACGGAAAGUGCAACAGAAAGUAUACCGCCCACACCUGGUUGCAGGUGUCGGGUAAGGGUGAAAUGGUGCGGUAAGAGCGCACCGCGCGACUGGUAACAGGACGCGGCAAGGUAAACCCCACCCGGAGCAAGGCCAAAUAGGAAUCCCAUGGUGUGGCUCGCACUGGAUUCGGGUAGGCUGCUUAAGGUCCGUGGCGACACGGAUUGUAGAUGAAUAACUGUCCUCGACAGAACCCGGCUUACAGGCUGGCUCAAACU